Vicia villosa (hairy vetch) is the source of this 1629-nucleotide RNA transcript. RefSeq lists it as uncharacterized. NCBI's taxonomy places the organism in Eukaryota, Viridiplantae, Streptophyta, Magnoliopsida, Fabales, Fabaceae. The record is from RefSeq and is a predicted model, not a curated record. The transcript has 2 exons.
GCCAGAGGUGGCCCGAAGAAUGUUUUUUUGUUCAGAUCAGCACAAAAAAUGGAGGCGCUAUGGGCUUAAGGGGGGUGUAUGGCAGUGAUUUCGUGAGGGAGGCCCAAGGAGAUUGUUUCAAACACUUAUCAUUUUCAGAUUUUAUGUCCACUAAACUCAAUUAACCAGACUUCCUCUAAUCAAAUUUCCAAUUAAAAGUAAUUAAUCAAACAUGUAAAAAGGAUUAGGGUUGAAAAUUACAUGAUGUUCAAGUUCUCUCUCGUGAACACGCAAACGGCGGCAGUGUUUCUCCGAUCCGAUCAAAUCACCGCCGCAAGCCAAAAUGGGACACCGAUCCCUCUCUCAUCUCACGCCUCGCUUCGAUUCUCCCAUUUUCCUCACAGCGAUGCAAACGACACUCUUUCUCGGCUCGUUUCACUCGCAACUCCCUCUAGAUUCACCUCCGUCUCCUUCGUGACAAAGCGGCGUGCGGCGGAGGAACCUUCAAAUCUCCGACGAAAGCAAAGCUUCGUCCGCCUUUCUUUCUUGUCUCAUCUCCGCAUCGUUUCCGACUUUGUCUUCUGUUAUUGAGGAUGUCGAUGUUACGAUUACAUGAAGAUGGAGUGCGAUGAUGAUUGAAGAAAUGAUGCUCCGUUGAAGAUUGAUGGCGUUCUUGCUGUGUAUGAACGAAGCAAGAGAGGGAUUGAAGAUUGAUAGGUGAAGGUGAUGAUUCGUGAAGAGUGGAGAUUGAAGAUAUUAAAGGUUAUUGACGACAAAUGCAAUGCGGUUCUUGCGAUGAUUCGUAGAUGAAGGUUGAAGGUUCUGGAUCCAAAAAGAGGUUGAAGCUUGAUGAUGAAGAUGAUGAAGAACGGUUCAGAGAGCGUUUCUUCGAUACGUUCCGGUAUUCUCCUCUUUCAAUUUCUGUUACGUUUGUUGUUAAGCUUUUUGAGUUUUGUUUCCUUGUGUGAUUGAAGAUGGAAUCGAAGGGGAUCAAGGUUGAUGAUUGAUGCGAUGAUGAAGAGGAAAAGACGUGAAGAUUCAAGAGAUUGAAGGAAGAUGAAGAUGAUAAGAUUGAGAGAGAGUUCUGAGUUUUUUGUUAGCGCAUUUUUCUGUUUUUGUUUGAAGGUGAUAGAACGAAGAUGAGAAAGAUGAUUCCAGAAAACGGUCAUGGUGAUGGUUGAAUUUUCUGAAAUGUGAAGAAGGUGAAUUCCCCAGUUUGUUUCAAAUGAAGAUUGAAGUAAAUAGAGAGAGUUUUCUGUUAGGAGUUUGUUACAUUUUGCUUCCCUGAUUUUUCUGGAACUUGAUAUAAUUUCAGGUGGACUAAACCGGUUUUCAACGGUUUAUUUCCUGAUUAUGCAGGCCGCAGGGAUCGAUUCACUUGGUAACUUUGCUUUGGCUUGUCGGUGUAUGAAGGAUUGCACAAGUCUUGGUGCUGAGUCCAGGAUACCCAAUGUUGCAAGGGCCAUUUUGUUUAAAGAUGAAGCAAAACUGUCAAAAAGAUUCAAGCAACCUCAAGUAUCCGCAUAAGGACUAAAGUUUAGAAGUAGGGUCAAGCUAUACUCCUCUUGUAAUUUCUUCUAUUCUUUGUAAUUGACAAUUGAGCAUGUACACAUGGACUUUGGAUAUGUAUCUUUUGUAAUGGACCUUGAA